Molecule: long non-coding RNA, 634 nt
Organism: Cucumis melo (muskmelon)
Lineage: Eukaryota; Viridiplantae; Streptophyta; Magnoliopsida; Cucurbitales; Cucurbitaceae
Exons: 2
Source: RefSeq, a predicted model, not a curated record
CAACGAAUCUCCAUCGCCUUCUGCGUCAGGUACAGUGUACGGCAUCUACGGAUUUGAACAGAACGGAUCAAAUGGAGGGUCAGCAAAUCUGUGAAUCUGAAGGAGUCGGUUGGUACAAAAUUCGUGAUGAUUAAAGGGCAGCAGCUAGGUUCAUGAUCCACAAACGGGUCAGUUGAUUGGUAGGAGACAAACGAUCGAAUGGUAGGAUGAUCUUUUCUUCUCAUGGUUGUUAGGUUCAGGAUCCGCAAACGGGCCAGGUGAUUGGUACGGGACAAACGGAGGGACAAUGGAUGCUUAUUUGAGCUCACAUCUCUUCAACACUCUUGUGUUUCCACCCAUCCCUGCACUAGUCAUUAAUAAUGUUAUAUACCAGUGGUAUAUUCACCUCCAUCAUUCAUCUUCUGAUAAACUUAUUAAUUUAGUUUCUAUUGACACUUUGAAUAAUAUCUUUAAAUUUAGUCAUUUUGACUCUUUAAAUUGCUAGCUUGCAAAACAAUCGUGCAUUAUCAUUUACUACUUUUGCUUCGUCAUCGUCAUGUGAUCCAUUCACAUUUAGGGUCUGCUUCAUGUACUACUGUCAAUGGUUGUCGAUUCUUUGUUUUAUUUAUUGAUGACUAUUCCUAUUUUACUUGGA